UACGAAGGUGGCAAGCGUUGUUCGGAUUCACUGGGCAUAAAGGGCGCGUAGGCUGUCCUGAAAGCGGUGUGUGAAAUCCCGGAGCUCAACUCCGGAACGGCACGCCGAACUUCAGGACUAGAGGACAGGAGGGGAGUGUGGAACUCUAGGUGGAGCGGUGAAAUGCGUAGAUAUCUAGAGGAACGCCGGUGGCGAAAGCGACACUCUGGCCUGCCCCUGACGCUGAGGCGCGAAAGCGUGGGUAGCAAACAGG
RNAcentral lists this unclassified non-coding RNA (253 nucleotides) under uncultured Planctomycetota bacterium. RNAcentral's name for it is "uncultured planctomycete contains 16S-23S intergenic spacer region". It matches the Rfam family "Bacterial small subunit ribosomal RNA", at positions 524 to 776 of the family's 1533-position model. Lineage: Bacteria; Pseudomonadati; Planctomycetota. The record is from RNAcentral.